UUAAAAAUGUAAUCAAAGUGACCAUUACAUUUAGACAAAAAAGUGACCAUUGCUCUCUUCCAUCAUUUUCUUUCUUCUUUUUAUCAUUUUUUCACAUUUUGUUGAUGCUCAUAUGGAACACCGUAAAUUAAGUGGAUCAAAAGAGACAAUGGCCAUGAGGAGGAACUUAACGGGCACGGUAAUUCCAAAAUUGCAACUCCUGGGAGCAAGUCACGGCAGUCCGGACAGAAAAACACUCAAGAUAAGCCGUCCAAAAUCCAACCCGAUCAAGCAACGCCACAAAUUACAGGCUAUAGUACUGCUCAUUUUCUCAUUCAAAUGCAAUAUGUGAGAUAUAUAUAUCUAACAAAAACUUUGAUUGUAGGAAGCAAUAAUAAGACAUGCAGCUACAAAUUCAAUGAAUCCAGUGAUAAAUGUAAGAUGAGCCCCUAGCUAUGGCACACCCGGGACUUCUCAGUGAACUGUUUAUAACUAUGCAACUCAUGUAUUAUUUAUGGAAUAAGCAAUUCUUCAUUAUAUAUCUUGUAAACUUUUUUUCCUAUAAAAAUAUACUCCAUCCAUUUUAAUUUAAUUAUCGUUGUAGAAAAAAAUUUUGUUUUUAAAAUAAGUGUCAUUUUAUAAUUUCAAUACAAAAUUUAUUAAUAAAAUUUUUCAGUGGUUAGGUGUA
Long non-coding RNA from Raphanus sativus (radish), 667 nucleotides. RefSeq lists it as uncharacterized. The record is from RefSeq and is a predicted model, not a curated record. The transcript is spliced from 3 exons. NCBI's taxonomy places the organism in Eukaryota, Viridiplantae, Streptophyta, Magnoliopsida, Brassicales, Brassicaceae.